UAGGGAAUCUUCGGCAAUGGACGAAAGUCUGACCGAGCAACGCCGCGUGAGUGAAGAAGGUCUUCGGAUCGUAAAACUCCGUUGUUAGAGAAGAACAAGGACGUUAGUAACUGAACGUCCCCUGACGGUAUCUAACCAGAAAGCCACGGCUAACUACGUGCCAGCAGCCGCGGUAAUACGUAGGUGGCAAGCGUUGUCCGGAUUUAUUGGGCGUAAAGCGAGCGCAGGCGGUUUCUUAAGUCUGAUGUGAAAGCCCCCGGCUCAACCGGAGAGGGUCAUUGGAAACUGGGAGACUUGAGUGCAGAAGAGGAGGGUGGAAUUCCCUGUGUAGCGGUGAAAUGCGUAGAUAUAUGGAGGAACACCAGUAGCGAAGGCGGCUCUCUAGUCUGUAACUGACGCUGAGGCUCGAAAGCGUGGGGAGCAAACAGG
Molecule: ribosomal RNA, 429 nt
Filed under: Gemmatimonadota bacterium
Lineage: Bacteria; Pseudomonadati; Gemmatimonadota
Description: Gemmatimonadetes bacterium partial 16S ribosomal RNA
Rfam family: Bacterial small subunit ribosomal RNA
Source: RNAcentral